This 497-nucleotide ribosomal RNA is filed under the name uncultured bacterium. Its description in RNAcentral is "partial 16S ribosomal RNA". It matches the Rfam family "Bacterial small subunit ribosomal RNA", at positions 28 to 507 of the family's 1533-position model. The record is from RNAcentral.
GAUAAACGCUGGCGGCGUGCCUAAUACAUGCAAGUCGAGCGAACAGACGAGGAGCUUGCUCCUCUGACGUUAGCGGCGGACGGGUGAGUAACACGUGGAUAACCUACCUAUAAGACUGGGAUAACUUCGGGAAACCGGAGCUAAUACCGGAUAAUAUAUUGACCCGCAUGGUUCAAUAGUGAAAGACGGUUUUGCUGUCACUUAUCGAUGGAUCCGCGCCGCAUUAGCUAGUUGGUAAGGUAACGGCUUACCAAGGCAACGAUGCGUAGCCGACCUGGGCGGGUGAUCGGCCACACUGGAACUGAGACACGGUCCAGACUCCUACGGGAGGCAGAAGUAGGGAAUCGUCCGCAAUGGGCGAAAGCCUGACGGAGCAACGCCGCGUGAGUGAUGAAGGUCUUCGGAUCGUAAAACUCUGUUAUUAGGGAAGAACAAAUGUGUAAGUAACUAUGCACGUCUUGACGGUACCUAAUCAGAAAGCCACGGCUAACUACGUG